GAUGAACGCUGGCGGCGUGCCUAAUACAUGCAAGUCGAGCGAACGGACGAGAAGCUUGCUUCUCUGAUGUUAGCGGCGGACGGGUGAGUAACACGUGGAUAACCUACCUAUAAGACUGGGAUAACUUCGGGAAACCGGAGCUAAUACCGGAUGAUAUUUUGAACCGCAUGGUUCAAAAGUGAAAGACGGUCUUGCUGUCACUUAUAGAUGGAUCCGCGCUGCAUUAGCUAGUUGGUAAGGUAACGGCUUACCAAGGCAACGAUGCAUAGCCGACCUGAGAGGGGGAACGGCCACACUGGAACUGAGACACGGUCCGGACUCCUACGGGAGGCAGCGGUAGGGAAUCUUCCGAAAUGGGCGAAAGCCUGACGGAGCAACGCGGGGUGGGUGAAGAAGGUCUUCGGAUCGUAAAACUCUGUUAUUAGGGAAAAACAUAUGUGUAAGUAACUGUGCACAUCUUGACGGUACCUAAUAAGAAAGCCACGGCUAACUACGG
Molecule: ribosomal RNA, 496 nt
Filed under: uncultured bacterium
Lineage: Bacteria
Description: partial 16S ribosomal RNA
Rfam family: Bacterial small subunit ribosomal RNA
Source: RNAcentral